Molecule: RNase P RNA, 354 nt
Filed under: uncultured Parolsenella sp.
Lineage: Bacteria; Bacillati; Actinomycetota; Coriobacteriia; Coriobacteriales; Atopobiaceae
Description: Bacterial RNase P class A
Rfam family: Bacterial RNase P class A
About the family: Ribonuclease P (RNase P) is a ubiquitous endoribonuclease, found in archaea, bacteria and eukarya as well as chloroplasts and mitochondria.
Source: RNAcentral
GUGGGCUAGACGACCGCGGGACCUACGAGCAAUCGCAGGUCAUGAGGAAAGUCCGGGCUCCACAGGGCAGGAUGCUGGCUAACGGCCAGGCGGGGUAACCCGACGGAAAGCGCCGCAGAAAAGAAGACUCCCACUGGCGGGUUCGCCCGUUAAGGGAAAAGCUGAAACGGUGGUGUAAGAGACCACCAGCGUCGUGGCAACACGGCGGCUUGGCAAGCCCCAUCCGGAGCAAACGCAAAUAGGAGCGCCAUGGUGUUGCCCGCACCGCGCUCGGGUUGCGCGCUAGAGGCCAACGGCAACGUUGGUCGUAGAUAAAUGGUCGUCCUAGACAGAACCCGGCUCAUAGGCCCGCCU